AGGAUGAACGCUGGCGGCGUGCCUAACACAUGCAAGUCGAGCGAGAACCGCUGGAAUGACACUUCGGUAGAAUGAAAAGCGGGGAAAGCGGCGGACGGGUGAGUAACGCGUAGGUAACCUGCCCCAUACACAGGGAUAGCCUAGGGAAACCUGGAUUAAUACCUGAUGAAGCAACUGGUCGCAUGACCGGCUGCCAAAGAUUUAUCGGUAUGGGAUGGACCUGCGUCUGAUUAGUGAGUUGGUGGGGUAAUGGCCUACCAAAGCGACGAUCAGUAGCCGACCUGAGAGGGUGAUCGGCCACAUUGGAACUGAGACACGGUCCAAACUCCUGCGGGAGGCAGCAGUGGGGGAUAUUGCACAAUGGGCGGAAGCCUGAUGCAGCAACGCCGCGUGAGCGAAGAAGGUCUUCGGAUCGUAAAGCUCUGUCCUGGGGGAAGAAACAAAUGACGGUACCCCGGGAGGAAGCCCCGGCUAACUACGUG
Molecule: ribosomal RNA, 482 nt
Filed under: uncultured bacterium
Lineage: Bacteria
Description: bacterial SSU rRNA
Rfam family: Bacterial small subunit ribosomal RNA
Source: RNAcentral